Molecule: ribosomal RNA, 253 nt
Filed under: uncultured bacterium
Lineage: Bacteria
Description: partial 16S ribosomal RNA
Rfam family: Bacterial small subunit ribosomal RNA
Source: RNAcentral
UACGGAGGAUCCAAGCGUUAUCCGGAAUCAUUGGGUUUAAAGGGUCCGUAGGCGGUUUUGUAAGUCAGUGGUGAAAGCCCAUCGCUCAACGGUGGAACGGCCAUUGAUACUGCAAGACUUGAAUUAUUAGGAAGUAACUAGAAUAUGUAGUGUAGCGGUGAAAUGCUUAGAGAUUACAUGGAAUACCAAUUGCGAAGGCAGGUUACUACUAAUUGAUUGGCGCUGAUGGACGAAAGCGUGGGGAGCGAACAGG